UACGUAGGUGGCAAGCGUUGUCCGGAACUAUUGGGCGUAAAGCGCGCGCAGGUGGUUCCUUAAGUCUGAUGUGAAAGCCCCCGGCUCAACCGGGGAGGGUCAUUGGAAACUGGGGAACUUGAGUGCAGAAGAGGAUAGUGGAAUUCCAAGUGUAGCGGUGAAAUGCGUAGAGAUUUGGAGGAACACCAGUGGCGAAGGCGACUGGCUGGUCUGUAACUGACACGGAGGCGCGAAAGCGUGGGGAGCAAACAGGAUUAGAUACCCUUGUAGUCCACGCCGUAAACGAUGAGUGCUAAGUGUUGGGGGGUUUCCGCCCCUCAGUGCUGCAGCUAACGCAUUAAGCACUCCGCCUGGGGAGUACGGUCGCAAGACUGAAACUCAAAUGAAUUGGCGGGG
This 396-nucleotide ribosomal RNA is filed under the name uncultured bacterium. RNAcentral describes it as "partial 16S ribosomal RNA". It matches the Rfam family "Bacterial small subunit ribosomal RNA", at positions 524 to 918 of the family's 1533-position model. The record is from RNAcentral.